CGAUGGAGGGGGAUAACUACUGGAAACGGUAGCUAAUACCGCAUAACGUCGCAAGACCAAAGAGGGGGACCUUCGGGCCUCUUGCCAUCGGAUGUGCCCAGAUGGGAUUAGCUAGUAGGUGGGGUAACGGCUCACUUAGGCGACGAUCCCUAGCUGGUCUGAGAGGAUGACCAGCCACACUGGAACUGAGACACGGUCCAG
RNAcentral lists this ribosomal RNA (201 nucleotides) under uncultured bacterium. RNAcentral describes it as "partial 16S ribosomal RNA". It matches the Rfam family "Bacterial small subunit ribosomal RNA", at positions 131 to 334 of the family's 1533-position model. The record is from RNAcentral.